Molecule: ribosomal RNA, 791 nt
Filed under: uncultured bacterium
Lineage: Bacteria
Description: bacterial SSU rRNA
Rfam family: Bacterial small subunit ribosomal RNA
Source: RNAcentral
AGAGUUUGAUCAUGGCUCAGAUUGAACGCUGGCGGCAUGCCUUACACAUGCAAGUCGAACGGCAGCGCGGGGCAACCUGGCGGCGAGUGGCGAACGGGUGAGUAAUAUAUCGGAACGUGCCCUGGAGUGGGGGAUAACGCAGCGAAAGUUGCGCUAAUACCGCAUACGAUCUAAGGAUGAAAGCGGGGGAUUCGCAAGAACCUCGUGCUCCUGGAGCGGCCGAUAUCUGAUUAGCUAGUUGGUGGGGUAAAGGCCUACCAAGGCAUCGAUCAGUAGCUGGUCUGAGAGGACGACCAGCCACACUGGAACUGAGACACGGUCCAGACUCCUACGGGAGGCAGCAGUGGGGAAUUUUGGACAAUGGGCGCAAGCCUGAUCCAGCAAUGCCGCGUGAGUGAAGAAGGCCUUCGGGUUGUAAAGCUCUUUUGUCAGGGAAGAAACGGUAUGGGCUAAUAUCCCGUGCUAAUGACGGUACCUGAAGAAUAAGCACCGGCUAACUACGUGCCAGCAGCCGCGGUAAUACGUAGGGUGCAAGCGUUAAUCGGAAUUACUGGGCGUAAAGCGUGCGCAGGCGGUUUUGUAAGUCUGUCGUGAAAUCCCCGGGCUCAACCUGGGAAUUGCGAUGGAGACUGCAAGGCUAGAAUCUGGCAGAGGGGGGUAGAAUUCCACGUAGCAGUGAAAUGCGUAGAGAUGUGGAGGAACACCGAUGGCGAAGGCAGCCCCCUGGGUCAAGAUUGACGCUCAUGCACGAAAGCGUGGGGAGCAAACAGGAUUAGAUACCCUAGUAGUCC